RNAcentral lists this ribosomal RNA (435 nucleotides) under uncultured bacterium. RNAcentral's name for it is "partial 16S ribosomal RNA". It matches the Rfam family "Bacterial small subunit ribosomal RNA", at positions 29 to 507 of the family's 1533-position model. The record is from RNAcentral.
AGCGAACGCUGGCGGCAGGCCUAAUACAUGCAAGUCGAGCGGGCAAUUUCGGGUGUUAGCGGCGGACGGGUGAGUACCGAGUGGGAACGAGCCCGUUGGUUCGGAAUCUCUCAGGGAAAGUUGAGCUAAUAACGCAUACGCUAUUUCCGGGUAAGGACUGCUGCCGAAGGUUUGGAGCGUGUCAGAUUAGCUAGCUUGUGUGGUAGCGGCUCCCCAAGGGGACGAUCAGUAACUGGACUGAGAGGAUGAUCAGCGACACUGGGACUGGGACACGUCCCAGACUCCUACCGGAGGCAGCAAGUGUGAAUAUGCGACAACGGGCGCGAGCCUGAUCCAUCCGGGCCGCGUAAGUCAUGUGGGCCUGAGGAUUGUAAAGCUCUUUGAUCCGAGACUAUAAUGACGGUACCGAAGGAAUAAGCCCCGGCUAACUUCGUG